GUGAAUUGCAUGAUAGAAAAGGUCAAAAACUCACCACGAAGAAAGAUAUUUUAGGUCUCACACUUGAAAAAAAGACUAAACAACAAGAGGCGUCGCCCCGUCAGAUGGCCUGGGUUGCAGCGGUGAUAUGCAAAAUCAUCAUAUUUGCCAACAUAUCUCCGGUUAUGUUCGUUUACCCUCGACAUUUUCAUAAAGUUAGGCUAGGUGUGACUAAACAGUAGCGGAAACACAUUGCAGCCAGCUGAGACGAUGACCCACCAGGCUGGAGGAG
This is a long non-coding RNA of Sinocyclocheilus anshuiensis, 271 nucleotides long. RefSeq lists it as uncharacterized. The record is from RefSeq and is a predicted model, not a curated record. The transcript is spliced from 3 exons. Lineage: Eukaryota; Metazoa; Chordata; Actinopteri; Cypriniformes; Cyprinidae.